RNAcentral lists this ribosomal RNA (498 nucleotides) under uncultured bacterium. Its description in RNAcentral is "partial 16S ribosomal RNA". It matches the Rfam family "Bacterial small subunit ribosomal RNA", at positions 30 to 523 of the family's 1533-position model. The record is from RNAcentral.
AUUGAACGCUGGCGGCAUGCCUUACACAUGCAAGUCGAACGGUAACAGGUCUUCGGAUGCUGACGAGUGGCGAACGGGUGAGUAAUACAUCGGAACGUGCCUAGUAGUGGGGGAUAACUACUCGAAAGAGUGGCUAAUACCGCAUGAGAUCUACGGAUGAAAGCAGGGGAUCGCAAGACCUUGUGCUACUAGAGCGGCCGAUGGCAGAUUAGGUAGUUGGUGGGAUAAAAGCUGACCAAGCCGACGAUCUGUAGCUGGUCUGAGAGGACGAUCAGCCACACUGGAGCUGAGAGACGGCCCAGACUCCUCCGGGAGGCAGCAGUGGGGAAUUUUGGACAAUGGGCGCAAGCCUGAUCCAGCAAUGCCGCGUGCAGGAUGAAGGCCUUCGGGUUGUAAACUGCUUUUGUACGGAACGAAAAGCCCCGGGUUAAUACCCUGGGGUCAUGACGGUACCGUAAGAAUAAGCACCGGCUAACUACGUGCCAGCCGCCGCGGUAA